Molecule: ribosomal RNA, 558 nt
Filed under: Salmonella enterica
Lineage: Bacteria; Pseudomonadati; Pseudomonadota; Gammaproteobacteria; Enterobacterales; Enterobacteriaceae
Description: partial 23S ribosomal RNA
Rfam family: Bacterial large subunit ribosomal RNA
Source: RNAcentral
GGGUUGUGAGGUUAAGCGACUAAGCGUACACGGUGGAUGCCCUGGCAGUCAGAGGCGAUGAAGGGCGUGCUAAUCUGCGAUAAGCGCCGGUAAGGUGAUAUGAACCGUUAUAACCGGCGAUACCCGAAUGGGGAAACCCAGUGUGAUUCGUUACACUAUCAUUAACUGAAUCCAUAGGUUAAUGAGGCGAACCGGGGGAACUGAAACAUCUAAGUACCCCGAGGAAAAGAAAUCAACCGAGAUUCCCCCAGUAGCGGCGAGCGAACGGGGAGGAGCCCAGAGCCUGAAUCAGCAUGUGUGUUAGUGGAAGCGUCUGGAAAGGCGCGCGAUACAGGGUGACAGCCCCGUACACAAAAGCGUAUGUGCUGUGAGCUCGAUGAGUAGGGCGGGACACGUGGUAUCCUGUCUGAAUAUGGGGGGACCAUCCUCCAAGGCUAAAUACUCCUGACUGACCGAUAGUGAACCAGUACCGUGAGGGAAAGGCGAAAAGAACCCCGGCGAGGGGAGUGAAAAAGAACCUGAAACCGUGUACGUACAAGCAGUGGGAGCACCCUUUGG